AUGAUCUGGAAAUGCUAUGCGCCAUGCUCUCCCGUCCAUAUAAAACACCAAGCCUUUGCAUCUCGCAAGGCAAACAAGAGCAGCCUUCUCCCUAUCCCCCGUCUGUCUUGCCGGUGGCUAGCUAAGAAGGCCUGUGAGAGCAUGGCAAGUAGUACCGUGUGCGAGAUCCGCCGUUUGCAGCGUGCGGACGGGCCUGCGUUGGUGCUUGCGAUCGGGACAGCAAACCCGCCCAACCACUUGUCCCAAGAGGAGUACCUGGAGUACUACUUCCGCGCCACCAAAAGCGAGCACCUCACGGACCUCAAACGCGAAUUCAAGUCAAUAUGUGACAGGACAGGCACGGAGAAACGUUUCUUUCACCACACACAGGAGCUGCUGGACGCCCACCCUCGCUUCUUCGACGGCGGACACGACCGCCUGGAGAUCGCCGCCGCCGUCGCCCCGGACCUCGCCGCGUCGGCCGCGGCCAAGGCCAUAACCAAGUGGGGCCGUCCAGCGACCGACAUCACUCACCUCAUCGUCAGCACCAACUCGUGCGCCCGCGCCCCGGGUGCCGACCUCCACAUCGCCUCCCUCCUAGGCCUCCGACCGUCUGUGGUUUGCACACUGCUCCAGAUCAACGGAUGCUCCGCCGGCUCCGCGUCGCUACGCCUCGCCAAGGACAUUGCCGAGAACAACCGCGGCGCCCGUGUCCUUGUGGUGUGCGUCGAGCUCAGCGUCGCCGCCUUGCGGGGGCCAGAGGAGAACUACCCCCACACCCUCAUCAGCCAGGCAAUUUUCAGUGAUGGCGCCGGCGCCGUAAUUAUCGGCGCUGACACGGUGCACCCACUGGAGCGCCCACUCUUCGAGAUGGUAUCCGCGUCACAGAUCGUGAUUCCGGGGACGGAUCAUCUUGCCAUGAUAAAAACCGGGGAAGGUGGCAUUUACCACCAAUUGUCGAUGCGGGAGCUUGUCCCGAUAGUAGCACAGAACAUCGAGCAGUGCAUAUCGGAUGAGCUCAAGCAGCUCGGAGUUGGCGUCGAAUGGAACGACCUCUUCUGGGCAAUGCACCCCGGCGUCAAUGCACUCUUAGACCAUGUCGACCAGGCUCUCAUGUUGGACCCGGGAAAGUUGGCAGCGAGUCGGACCGUGCUGAGAGAGUACGGGAAUAUGCUCAGCGCCACAGUGAUUUUUGUGCUUGAUGAGCAGCGGCGCCGAAUGGAAGAGGACGGAGAGGAAGGUGUUUGGGGUGUGAUGCUGGGAUUUGGACAUGGGUUCACAAUUGAGACUAUGGUGAUGCAUGCGACCAGCAAUCUCAAGCAAAAGUAUGCCAGAAUGUAG
Molecule: ribosomal RNA, 1320 nt
Filed under: Triticum aestivum (bread wheat)
Lineage: Eukaryota; Viridiplantae; Streptophyta; Magnoliopsida; Poales; Poaceae
Description: partial small subunit ribosomal RNA
Source: RNAcentral